AGACAUUUCGCGCUCAUUCACUUCCGCCUCCCUCUCGGUCGCAACUGUUUUGCAUCUUGUUUCAUCGCGUUUCACGAUGCCCCGCUUCAACUACGAUUCCACCACGGCCGUCUGCAUCGCCACGGAAUAGGAGCUUUCUCGGUCAACCAAAUUGAAGAAGAGAUGUUAUGAUAUCGCUGAAGGGCGAACUGAAGGAUAGACGUGGACGACUGUUGGGGGGACACGCCAGCCUGUGGGCUGAUGUUGCUGAUGCUGUGGGAAACACCGGCGGACGUCUUGGGGAAGGUAACGACAUCGAAGCGAAGAGUGUGGAGUUCGACAGCCGCAUGGCUGCGGGCGUGAAGUUGAGGGGGAAGAGACCG
Molecule: long non-coding RNA, 362 nt
Organism: Ostrinia nubilalis (European corn borer)
Lineage: Eukaryota; Metazoa; Arthropoda; Insecta; Lepidoptera; Crambidae
Exons: 3
Source: RefSeq, a predicted model, not a curated record